GAUGAACGCUAGCUCCAGGCUUAACACAUGCAAGUCGAGGGGAAACGAUGAGAGAGCUUGCUCUCUUAGGCGUCGACCGGCGCACGGGUGAGUAACGCGUAUCCAACCUACCCAUUACAGGGGGAUAACCUUGCGAAAGUAAGACUAAUACCCCAUGGCAUUUUAUGGUGGCAUCAUUAUAGGAUUAAAGAUUUAUUGGUAAUGGAUGGGGAUGCGUCUGAUUAGCUUGUUGGCGGGGUAACGGCCCACCAAGGCAACGGUCAGUAGGGGUUCUGAGAGGAAGGUACCCCACAUUGGAACUGAGACACGGACCAAACUCCUACGGGAGGCAGCAGUGAGGAAUAUUGGUCAAUGAGCGAGAGCUUGAACCAGCCAAGUAGCGUGCAGGAUGACGGCCCUAUGGGUUGUAAACUGCUUUUAUAGGGGAAUAAAGUGAGCUACGUGUAGUUUAUUGCAUGUACCCUAUGAAUAAGGACCGGCUAAGUCCGUG
RNAcentral lists this ribosomal RNA (490 nucleotides) under uncultured bacterium. Its description in RNAcentral is "partial 16S ribosomal RNA". It matches the Rfam family "Bacterial small subunit ribosomal RNA", at positions 28 to 507 of the family's 1533-position model. The record is from RNAcentral.